RNAcentral lists this ribosomal RNA (497 nucleotides) under uncultured bacterium. Its description in RNAcentral is "partial 16S ribosomal RNA". It matches the Rfam family "Bacterial small subunit ribosomal RNA", at positions 28 to 507 of the family's 1533-position model. The record is from RNAcentral.
GAUGAACGCUGGCGGCGUGCCUAAUACAUGCAAGUCGAGCGAACAGACGAGGAGCUUGCUCCUCUGACGUUAGCGACGGACGGGUGAGUAACACGUGGAUAACCUACCUAUAAGACUGGGAUAACUUCGGGAAGCCGGAGCUAAUACCGGAUAAUAUAUUGAACCGCAUGGUUCAAUAGUGAAAGACGGUUUUGCUGUCACUUAUAGAUGGAUCCGCGCCGCAUUAGCUAGUUGGUAAGGUAACGGCUUACCAAGGCAACGAUGCGUAGCCGACCUGAGAGGGUGAUCGGCCACACUGGAACUGAGACACGGUCCAGACUCCUACGGGAGGCAGCAGUAGGGAAUCUUCCGCAAUGGGCGAAAGCCUGACGGAGCAACGCCGCGUGAGUGAUGAAGGUCUUCGGAUCGUAAAACUCUGUUAUUAGGGAAGAACAAAUGUGUAAGUAACUAUGCACGUCUUGACGGUACCUAAUCAGAAAGCCACGGCUAACUACGUG